UUUUAAACAUAAUAGCUACUCCUCUUGAAUUUGAAGAAAAGGAUGAAAAGUAGCAUUCAUAUCCCCAUAACGUUCUUAUACUAUUUUCUUUAUCCACUGUGAAAUGAGUGUCUUGUAGACAGUAAAUGUUAUGGUUCCCAGAUUUUAGAAAACUAAAUACAUCCCUCCUUUUAGAUAAAUCACCCAGACCCUGACAGUUAACAG
RNAcentral lists this long non-coding RNA (204 nucleotides) under Mytilus galloprovincialis (Mediterranean mussel). The record is from RNAcentral. Lineage: Eukaryota; Metazoa; Mollusca; Bivalvia; Mytilida; Mytilidae.